This 253-nucleotide ribosomal RNA is filed under the name uncultured bacterium. Its description in RNAcentral is "partial 16S ribosomal RNA". It matches the Rfam family "Bacterial small subunit ribosomal RNA", at positions 524 to 776 of the family's 1533-position model. The record is from RNAcentral.
UACAGAGGGGGCAAGCGUUGUUCGGAAUUACUGGGCGUAAAGGGCGCGUAGGCGGCCUUCUAAGUCGAACGUGAAAUCCCCGGGCUCAACCCGGGAACUGCGUCCGAUACUGGAAGGCUUGAAUCCGGGAGAGGGAUGCGGAAUUCCAGGUGUAGCGGUGAAAUGCGUAGAUAUCUGGAGGAACACCGGUGGCGAAGGCGGCUCUCUGGUACGUGACUGACGCUGAGACGCGAAAGCGUGGGGAGCAAACAGG